Lactuca sativa (garden lettuce) is the source of this 1758-nucleotide RNA transcript. RefSeq lists it as uncharacterized. The record is from RefSeq and is a predicted model, not a curated record. Lineage: Eukaryota; Viridiplantae; Streptophyta; Magnoliopsida; Asterales; Asteraceae.
GGUGCACUGUGGGACAAAAGGUGCAUCUUUUUAUCCCAUCUAAAAAGGUGGGACAAGGACUUGCUUUUACUCUCUGUCUGUGCAAAAGACGUAAAUGCCCUCCGAUUCAGUCUAGUGUUGUCCCUUGUAACAACUUUAGCUUAAAGUUUGAUACAAAGCUCUAACACGCCAUGUUUUAUAAUUCAUGCAGGACAAUAAACGCAAGUUGUCUUCCACGGUAUUAAGCAAGUUCUUAUGUGUGAUUGUUGGAGGCUUAGUAGCAGAGUAUCUUACGUAUGGAUACUCAAAAGGACAUCACGGUGACGUGGAGAAAGUGUGUUCUUCAUGUUUCAUCUCAUCUUAUAGAAGAGCUUAGGGUGCGUUUGGUUGUGGAAAACUGUUUUCAUUUUCCAAGAAAAUGUUUUCAAAAAAUAGAGUUGGGUUUUUAUUUUCGAUUUUCAAUAAAAGUUUUAGAAAAAACGUUUGGUUGGAAACGGUGGAGUUUUCAUUUUCCAUCUUAGAAAUUUAGAAAAUUUUGGAAAAUUGUAAAAAUUAUUUUUCUAAUUUACAUACCAUUUGGAAAAAUGAAAAUUUUCAUUUUCUUAGAAAAUUUUGGAAAAUUGAAUAAACCGAACGCAUUUUCAAAAUUUCCGUUUUCCUUGGAAAACUUUCUAGGUUUCUUAAAAAAUUUUCCACAACCAAACGCACCCUUAUAUUUUCUAUUUUUUUGGGAUUAAACCUCAUCUUUAUUUUUUUCCCUUGAAAAUGACCUUGUAUUUUUUUUCAUUUUUUCCAAAAAAACCCUAAACUUUGUCUUUUUGUUCCAAAAAGACCCUCAACCUUCUAACCGUUUCCCAAUAAACCCUUAAUUUUUUUAGUUUUUCUCGAAAAAGCCCUCACAUUUUUAAGUUUUUUUGGGCAAAAAUGACUAAAGAGCCAGAUCGGAAAAAAAUGAAAAAAUGCAAGGUUUUUUUCAAGGAAAAAAAAUAAAGUUAAGGUUUAAUCCGGAAAAAACAAAAAAUAUAAUCCUACAAUUAGACAAAGUGGGAAAAAAUGAGAGGACUAGACAAACUUUCUAAGUCUAUUUUCGACGAUGAGGAUGAGCAGCGCUUUUAUGUCUUUUGCACAGAUGAGAGCUCAAGCCUUGUGAGUCCCUCCCACGUUAUUCCACCUUUUCGGGUGGGACAAAAAAUUACUUACAAAAGAUCGAGAAGGGCAUUCAUGUCUUUUUCACCCACGGGCGACUGAGAGCGUGUGUAUAUUAUUUGACAUUUUGACAUUUUGACAUUUUUUAGAAGGCAAGAAAUUAUAAUUUUUGUCACAAUGGACACCAUCACACCAAACUCCAUUUUAUAAACAAGAGAUCGAGAAGGGCACUCACGUCUUUUGAACAGACGAGAGACCGAGGGCGAUUGGGCAUGGUGCUUAAAUGGUUGCAAUUCACUGAAGAUGAAGCAGAUGCUCUGAUCAGAUGGAGUGUACUGAACACGCUCGUGAUAUUGCAUCAUCAUAGUGAAGCUAGAUUAGCGUUAGUGGAGGCCAUGACACGUGGAAGAUCAAUUGGAAAUUGCAUUGAUGUGAUAGAAACCACUCUAAACUAUCAAGACGUUUAAACAUCUCACAUCUUCAUUAUCAUCAUGUUCAAGAUUAUUUGACCUAACCUCAACUGACAAUUUUACACCAUCUGGAAAUCCUCAAUUUGUUACUGUUAAAACCUUUGGUACAGUUAUAUUGUUCUAUAUAUAGCAUUAUAAAUUUAUCAAUUGAAAAUUUGUGUAA